AUCUGUCUGGCUCAGUUGGUAGAGCAUGUGACCCUGAAUCUCAGGGCCACGAGUUCAAGCCUCAUGUGGGGUG
RNAcentral lists this transfer RNA (73 nucleotides) under Canis lupus familiaris (dog). It matches the Rfam family "tRNA". From Rfam's summary of the family: Transfer RNA (tRNA) molecules are approximately 80 nucleotides in length. Their secondary structure includes four short double-helical elements and three loops (D, anti-codon, and T loops). Further hydrogen bonds mediate the characteristic L-shaped molecular structure. tRNAs have two regions of fundamental functional importance: the anti-codon, which is responsible for specific mRNA codon recognition, and the 3' end, to which the tRNAs corresponding amino acid is attached (by aminoacyl-tRNA synthetases). tRNAs cope with the degeneracy of the genetic code in two manners: having more than one tRNA (with a specific anti-codon) for a particular amino acid; and 'wobble' base-pairing, i.e. permitting non-standard base-pairing at the 3rd anti-codon position. Lineage: Eukaryota; Metazoa; Chordata; Mammalia; Carnivora; Canidae. RNAcentral also lists the same sequence under 1 other name. The record is from Rfam by way of RNAcentral.